UUCUUUGAAGGAAGCCAUGUUAUUGAAUAUGCUAGACUGGAAAUGAUCGAUUUGAAAAAGAAAAGCCAUAAUGAAGCACGUGCACAGUAUUUAUCUAUGUUGACCACUAGUUUAGACUGCUUUGGCAAUCUAUCUGGACAGCUUUGCGUUCAAAAGAGAUACGAUAGAUGAUUGAACGCACCCAGUGUGAACGCCGUCCAAAACAUGUGUUAUGUCAAAAUGUUUGAUAGCGCCAUAAGUAAAAUAAAGUACAUUUCAAGAAAAGAAAGAAUUUAAUUUCAAAACAAACCGAGAAGACGAUGUGUUAAAACUUAUCUACAAAAGUGAGCAAGGUUUCGCAAAUUGUCUCAAAUACAUCAGUAUUGUCAAUUUAGAUUCGUCAAAAAAAUCUAUCCCACAAUUCGAUCGACAGUUGGAGGAUGCCCAGAACUUCAGCGUCUAUGUAAGAUUUUCGGGAAUGAAAAUCAAAUUGAAAUCAACUAAAGACUUGACUAUACCGGAAGGAUAUGCGGUAGAGGAACGGGUAAUUGUAUGAACAAAAUUCUAAACUGGAACAUCAAUGUUAAGACGUGGAACUUUUUUCAUCUAAUUACCCGUACCACUACCGCAUACCAGUCCGUUGUGGCCAAGCCUUAAAUCUCGUCGAGAACUUUGCAAAUUUAAAUAUGAUUCACAUUAAAAAAAAAAAAAAACAAAACAAAAACAAUCUAAACUUGACAUUCUGGAGCGCAUUUAAACGCCCAACCUGAAAGCCACACAAAGCCACGUUCGAAAAAUGUAUUCGAUGGUGCAAUCACGUUUCCAAAGCAAUAGAUAGCAUUCCUAAGUCUUUACCAAGAAAUAAAGACGCACAGGCUUAUCUAGGAACCUCAUUUGGAUGGAAUAAGUUAUAAAUAUGUUGCACCAAGAAAACGUUUUCAGUCAAUGGGUAAUUUGAGUGGUGGUGAGAAAACUAUUGCUGCUUUUUCUGUGUAAUUUACAACCUGGUCCAUUUUUGUUGCAUCUAUAAACGAGAUCACAUCACAAUGAACCAUCAAACUAUUGUCAUUUCGCUCAAAGAGAAGUUUUAUGUGCAUGCUGUUGCUUUAUUUGGAAUUUCACCAGCUGUGAGUUCUUAUCGAUGGAACAAAACGUUUCGAUGGAGAAACAAAUUUCAGCCAAGGCGCAAUAACAAUUGCUAAUUAAAAUUAUGUGCGUUUCAAUAAUCCUGCCGAAGCUCAACUUAUACGCUAUGCCUUGGGCAGCAACGAACGAAUCUCGAUGCCACCUUAUAAAACCAAAUUUAAAUGGGCUUAAUAUUAAUGCCAGGAUAAUAUUAAAGUCCAACAAAUCAUUUUUAGAAGGACACGGCCCCGUUUCUCACAAAUGAUGGAUACAAAUGUGGAAAGAAAGCCAAAGUAAACAAAAAAUAAGUUGGCAAACUUGUUCCUAAAGAAAGAAAUCAAUUAAAUCUUUUCUGCAUCCCUGACACAGUAGUGUCUUCUUGCUGUUCAGUUAAAAGUACAAUAUGUUCGCAUCUAAAAAGUACAAGAAAUAGAUGAUUUUUAAAAAUACUAUGGGUGAGGCUAUCCAUGUGUUACGGACUGUAUCAACAACUUCCGUCACAUCAGCAACAUGCACCGCAUCAACUGCACCAUCAGCAACCUUCUCAAAUGAUUCCUCCACAAAAACAUUCCCAACUACCUCCACAGCAUCAGCAGAAUCCUCCAUACCACCAGGGAAUGCAUCUGCAAAACUUCAAUCUACCGACAUUUGGUAUACCGCCCCCGGGCUACGGUGGGUAUCAACCUGCAUGGGAAGAGUACAACCUCCAUGGGGAAUGCAAUGGAAAGAGAUGAAUUCCGAAAACUGAUGGAAGAUGCUCAUCUUAAUGGAAAAUCAUUAUUUAGUGAAUUAAGUCAACGUUAUGGAUCACAACAAAACCAUCGAAAAAGUACGUGAAUGUGAAAGUUUUUUUCAAAGAGUACAUUGUCGAUUUUCUUCUCAAAAAAGAAGAGGAUAAAAUUCAGAAAAAGAAAAAGCAGCCUCAUACUACCACCAUCUUGUUGGGAUGCGUCUGCGAUCUCUUGUGCUAACCUAUAUGCCAUUGUUUAUUGGUGCUUUGAUUCGUCAUGAAGUCGAAAAGAAGGAUAAAUGGAUUCAAGAGUUUUUGCAAUUUGUCUACAGCAAUUGCUGUUCGGUUGAUCCAAGGCAAAGUGAAUUGAGAUCAUCGAUCUUUGCUACAUUAACCAUUGUAGCACCAGAAUAAUUUGUCGCACACACGAGAUCUAUUAGUGAAAUGUUGACUGCUGCUUUAACUGAUAACGAAACCAGUGGAAAUAUGGCUACUCAAGUGAUAUAUAAAAUUUGUAUAACU
Long non-coding RNA from Episyrphus balteatus (marmalade hoverfly), 2356 nucleotides. RefSeq lists it as uncharacterized. The record is from RefSeq and is a predicted model, not a curated record. Lineage: Eukaryota; Metazoa; Arthropoda; Insecta; Diptera; Syrphidae. The transcript has 8 exons.